AAGACUUGUGCUUUCAGGAAUCUUUGCUCUAGCUCAUUCCUAGAGGUAUCUUGGAUCUUAUAGUGCACCCGAAACCAUGAGGAGGAGCCAGAGCACCCUGUCCUGAGCGUGAAGCCAGUUCUAGCGUUGCUUUUGCAACUGCCUUGUACAUUGAUGAUUCUUCUUUUCUUUCCUAGAAGAGGGAGAGGGAGAGGAUACAGUCUGAGUUGU
Molecule: small nucleolar RNA, 210 nt
Organism: Sorex araneus (European shrew)
Lineage: Eukaryota; Metazoa; Chordata; Mammalia; Eulipotyphla; Soricidae
Product: small nucleolar RNA U3
Exons: 1
Source: RefSeq, a predicted model, not a curated record